AGAAGCUAAAUGACUAUGGAAGACAUCAGUGUCAGGAUUAUCAGACAAAUGACUAAACAUGGCUAUGGUAAAGGAGAUGUGUAGUCUACCUCUGGGAGAAUGCUAAUGUGCUUCAGAAAUCAGAAGGUGCUCAAAUUUGAAGGGAGGGAAAGAUUUCUGUUUCUUCUUGGCUGACUGUCCUUCAUCUGGCUUGAAGUUGCCUGGUUAUGUAAUAAAAAGAAAUCCCUCAGUUAUCAUGUGAGUAGGUGGUAUCUCCACUGACACCACUGAAGUUCUACUGAUUUCAGCAGAGCUACUCUAGAUUUACCUCAGUGUAAAUGGGAGGAGAAAUGGGCCCAAAUGCUUCAGAAAACACCAGGGUGUCCCUGGAGCUGCACUAGCUGCAGCUCCCUGCACCUCUCACAGGGAACAGAAUUCUGAAGCUUGCAACACAGACUGGAAAGGCAGCUCAAGUCCUUUUAGACAAUGAACAACAGUGGAGGGGACUGUAUCCACGAAAUGAGUCAGGAGGGGCAGUUUUGCCACCAGAGAAGAAUUCCUCUUCACCAGCUGUGAUAUCAUUUAAUAAUGACAGCUCUCCGGUUUGUAAGUGCAGCAUGUGUCUUCAAUGCCUUAUUUGCAACUGUUUUUUGAGAUAAUGAUUUAG
RNAcentral lists this long non-coding RNA (646 nucleotides) under Apteryx owenii (little spotted kiwi). RNAcentral's name for it is "lncRNA (ENSAOWG00000012597.1)". The record is from RNAcentral. Lineage: Eukaryota; Metazoa; Chordata; Aves; Apterygiformes; Apterygidae.